Molecule: long non-coding RNA, 709 nt
Organism: Tetranychus urticae (two-spotted spider mite)
Lineage: Eukaryota; Metazoa; Arthropoda; Arachnida; Trombidiformes; Tetranychidae
Source: RefSeq, a predicted model, not a curated record
UUAGGGUCAAAUUUGAAAUUUGCUUUGUUUACUUAAAUGGUAACAUUAAACUUUCAAUUUCAAGUAAUUGCUCAAAUGAUUUAUUAGUAAUAAUAAAUUUAACUCAAUGAUUAACUUCUUCAUCUUUUUAACCAAAUCAACACAAUUAACCACAUACCCAACACACACUAUAAUCAAGUUGAAAUAUUUGGAAAGUAAAUGGUGAUCAUCUCUUCAUGUUUACAGUAUAAACAAUUCAAUAUAUGGCUAUCUAACCAAUCAAGUUAAUUAAAUUAAACAAUUGUUUUUGGCCUGACUGCUGAUGAAUUGGCUAUAAGCUGGAGAGAAACUGGAAGAAUGACCAACUUGGCAACUUUCAUCAACACUUGAUUGACCAGUCAAUGAAUUGAAAACCACCAAUUAAGGGUCAGCAAUCAUCGAGAAGCAUCAAUGUUUAUUAAUUCAAUUGAUGAAUUACACGAUGUAAUUGAGAUUAUUAAUUUAAUUUUGUGGUUUAUUGAGUAAAUUGAUUUUGAUCAUGAACAGUCUUCUUUUCCCCGUUCAUAAUUGGUCAUUUGAUGAAGUGAACGAGAGUUUGGUUAAUAUAUAUCCGAUUACGUGAUUGAUUAUGGAUUCAUGACCACGUCAAUCAAACACCAGUAAAAUCAUAAUCAACAUUGAAAUCUAAUUCUCAUUAAAUAAAAGAAAAAGCAAACAAUUUUAAUGUUAA